RNAcentral lists this ribosomal RNA (484 nucleotides) under uncultured bacterium. RNAcentral's name for it is "partial 16S ribosomal RNA". It matches the Rfam family "Bacterial small subunit ribosomal RNA", at positions 30 to 507 of the family's 1533-position model. The record is from RNAcentral.
AUUGAACGCUGGCGGCAGGCCUAACACAUGCAAGUCGAGCGGAUGAAGGGAGCUUGCUCCUGGAUUCAGCGGCGGACGGGUGAGUAAUGCCUAGGAAUCUGCCUGGUAGUGGGGGAUAACGUCCGGAAACGGGCGCUAAUACCGCAUACGUCCUGAGGGAGAAAGUGGGGGAUCUUCGGACCUCACGCUAUCAGAUGAGCCUAGGUCGGAUUAGCUAGUUGGUGGGGUAAAGGCCUACCAAGGCGACGAUCCGUAACUGGUCUGAGAGGAUGAUCAGUCACACUGGAACUGAGACACGGUCCAGACUCCUACGGGAGGCAGCAGUGGGGAAUAUUGGAUAAUGGGCGAAAGCCUGAUCCAGCCAUGCCGCGUGUGUGAAGAAGGUCUUCGGAUUGUAAAGCACUUUAAGUUGGGAGGAAGGGCAGUAAGUUAAUACCUUGCUGUUUUGACGUUACCAACAGAAUAAGCACCGGCUAACUUCGUG